Molecule: ribosomal RNA, 484 nt
Filed under: uncultured bacterium
Lineage: Bacteria
Description: partial 16S ribosomal RNA
Rfam family: Bacterial small subunit ribosomal RNA
Source: RNAcentral
AUUGAACGCUGGCGGCAGGCCUAACACAUGCAAGUCGAGCGGAUGAAGGGAGCUUGCUCCUGGAUUCAGCGGCGGACGGGUGAGUAAUGCCUAGGAAUCUGCCUGGUAGUGGGGGAUAACGUCCGGAAACGGGCGCUAAUACCGCAUACGUCCUGAGGGAGAAAGUGGGGGAUCUUCGGACCUCACGCUAUCAGAUGAGCCUAGGUCGGAUUAGCUAGUUGGUGGGGUAAAGGCCUACCAAGGCGACGAUCCGUAACUGGUCUGAGAGGAUGAUCAGUCACACUGGAACUGAGACACGGUCCAGACUCCUACGGGAGGCAACAGUGGGGAAUAUUGGACAAUGGGCGGAAGCCUGAUCCAGCCAUGCCGCGUGUGUGAAGAAGGUCUUCGGAUUGUAAAGCACUUUAAGUUGGGAGGAAGGGCAGUAAGUUAAUACCUUGCUGUUUUGACGUUACCAACAGAAUAAGCACCGGCUAACUUCGUG